AGAAACACCUUGCUGGCUACAGUCUGAAGCAGGGUUCUAGAUGAGGAAGGCUGGAGCUCUUCACGGGUGGAAAAGGCAGACAUUCAGUCAGAGGAAGCUGCCUGAUGCUGAGAAAUGUGUCCAUCUUCUCCAGGGGAACCCACUGAAGGGCAACAUACAUCAAAGUCCCUUGAAGCCAUGGGCAUCCAUAUGCCAGUAGUCAGUGUCAGGGUGACGGCUUCAUCAGCUGACACUUCUCCAGAAGAAACCAAAGUGAUUUGCAACUGAAUUUACAAUGUGAGGAAGCAUGGUGUGAAAACUAUUCAGCUGCCCUCCACAACUUUGCAGUCUUACUACAUUUGUUCUCAGCCAAGACUUAUGAGUUCAUGAAGAGGACAUUCCAACUGCCAAAAAUCCACAACUUUGCAUGUAUGACAGCAAAGAAGGAAGAAUAAAAUGUUUGAAAAAGUACUUUUGAUAUGCUGGAACAGAGAACAUGAGCUCCUGAAUAUAGUCUGCAAGCUUCCAAUAUCAUAUUUGUGGCUGACAUCUGUUUUGUACUUAAUAGAAAAUGAUGAGAAAGAUGGGACAUACAUCCAAUGAAUAAAUAAUAAAUUGUGCCAUCAAACAGAGGAUGAUAUAGAGCAUAGCAAUCCUGCUUGAGGUGGUGGGAAAAAAGUUGUUGGCUCUCUUAUUUCAAAAACAAGAAGCCAAAUUGGAGAAGAUCAUCCUAGGAAGAGCUACAUAGGCAAUACACCAUUGGACAAAAUGGGUGUCAUCUGAAGGAGAGAUAAGUCAGUCAGUGGGGAUAUACAGUUGCCUCUCCAUUUUUAUGGACUUGAGAUCUGCAGUUUUGAUUAUUCGUGGAGGGGCGACCUCCAUUAAAGUUAAUGGGGCACGCACCCAUGACACAUGUACAUGGCUCUACAUAGGAGCACACAGCCAUUCAAAGGUUGAAUGGGACUUGAAUAUAUGCG
Long non-coding RNA from Sceloporus undulatus (fence lizard), 956 nucleotides. RefSeq lists it as uncharacterized. NCBI's taxonomy places the organism in Eukaryota, Metazoa, Chordata, Lepidosauria, Squamata, Phrynosomatidae. The transcript has 4 exons. The record is from RefSeq and is a predicted model, not a curated record.